Molecule: long non-coding RNA, 2128 nt
Organism: Triticum aestivum (bread wheat)
Lineage: Eukaryota; Viridiplantae; Streptophyta; Magnoliopsida; Poales; Poaceae
Exons: 2
Source: RefSeq, a predicted model, not a curated record
UGUCACUCCCUCUUCCACAGCCACUCAUUUCACUGUGAGGGACGAUUCCGACCAGGAGAAAUCUACCGUUCAGGUCCGUCGCCGGCGGCAAGACCGGAGCUGUAUAGCGCCGUCCAUCUCUGACGCGCUUCGCCGCCCAGAGCUGUCACGGCUAGCGCCACCCGUCUCCGGCGCGCUUCGCCGCCAUGAGCCGCGGGGUUCGAAGGCAGUAAGACAGAAAUCGCCGCCGCUCGCCUCCGGCACGCUGCGCGUGGCCUGGGGUCGUUGUAUUGGCUGGAGGCAAGAUGGGAUCCAUCACGGCUAGCUCUGUUCGCCUAAGGCGCGCUGCGCCACGCCUGGCCGUGGACUUGGCCGGCGGCAAGACGGGGGCCAUCGCGGCUAGUGUCGCUCGCCUCCGGCACACCCAAGGCCAGCCCAAGGUUGUGGCUGACCCGCUCCCUGUGAGGUGGUGGCACGGUGGAACUGCAGCGCGUGCAGCCGGUGGCUGAGAUUCCGUGGGAGUUUGCGUGAUCACAGUGGAAGAUGCUAACUCGAUGCAAACUCAACAGGCAAAGGUAUUGAAGAAUGGCACCUGUGUCUCCUUGGAUUGACUGCAUACGCUUUGAUCGGAGAUAAUUUUUAUAAUCCUUUUGACCAAAGCUAAGACAUCGUCUACCCCCUACUUGUCUACUCAUCACUUCAUGACCAGAUUUUGGUCUAAUACCUGAAUCGUUCAAUAUGUCAAUCUGGGCCUUCUGAGCUUCUGUAAUUCUUCUUUGGGAUCGCAGUAGAUGGGCUUUGCUUGGAGUUACAAGUUCAUGAUUAUGAGCAUCCUCAAAGCUGCUUACAACAUACUUUCCAUUACCACUUAUUUUGAUGGUCAUCUCUGCCAUACACCCAACUCUUGUAUCUGCUCGCUUCCGCUGGCAUUGUUCCUUGCUCUUGUCCUUGAAACCUGCCUUUGAGCAUACAAAUUUCUUUGUUCGAAUAACAUUCGUUGAGGAUUUAUCAUGCCAAAAUUUCCUGACACUGAAACCAACAUGUCCUGCAUAUGCAUUAUAAAACUCAUAUGCUAUAUCUUCAUUCUCAAAUUCCAUUCCUAUCUCUGGUUUUAACCUUUUGCUGUAAUCAUCAUCUGUGUUUCGACCUGCCUCUCCCACAUCUGUGGUGUCAUGAUCUACACAACAUAAAAAAUAUAAUAUACUAAUUAGUUCACGGGCGACACAUGGAGUAAAAGAUAACACGAUAUUCACAGUCCUGGUUUUAGUGAAACCUGAAAAGCGCUUAUAGAUAGAACAAUGCUUUUUGGAAAAGGACACAUGGUAUUCACGGGGCAUUCGAAAAAUAUUGAUCUUUUUCUUUGAUACAGUCAUCUCUAUCAUUAGAGUUAGCAAAAAGAGAAUAUGUCAAAGGAGAAAUCUCAGGCAGUAAAAUUUAUAAUAAACUUAGGUGGUACUCUGAUGCAUAAUGUACGCAACAUCGUAGGAGUAAUCAUCACUAACGGAAUUAUAAUGCAAUUCCGAAGGAUUAAUUUGCAUGUGUUUCAAAGAAACAGGGCUACGGAAGAUGAAAUACUGGGAGUAAUUUGCAUGUCAUACAUUCAACUCUUUGUUUAUUUGUUUCUUUCAAUCUUAUCAGCUUCGUAUGAUCAAGAGUGUUGACAAUCUGUACAUUCCAGGCGCAAGAACAUACCUAAGGACGAUGAAUUGGCAGGAGCUCCGUCCAUGCUGAAGAACACCGUAGAUGUUGAUCCACGGAGAGGACAAUUUCCUAUCAAUCUUGAUCUAUUCUCCUUUGAUCCGGGGGCAACAACAAUGGAAUAGAUUGGUACGAGAAAGGACGGAUGAAGCCAUGAAGAGAUUUUGGCGGCAAUCUGUUGUUACGCGGGAGAUAAACCUGUCGUUUUGCUGAUUUUCUGGAACUUAACUACAAUUAUAGAGAUACGCUGGGUUGUUUAAGUGGUGGGGCCCUACCAGGACAGGUGUCGGACAUCCGUUGGCCCUGCACGAUAGUGCGUACUGGGAACCCUGCAGGAGAGCCCGACCCCGCUUGGUGCCGUUUCUUCGUGGGGUUACCGGUUUCUUCUCUCUCCUCUUUAACUAAGACGCCACGUCAGAUUUUGGCUUACGUGGACGGCUAAGCACCGAUA